RNAcentral lists this ribosomal RNA (465 nucleotides) under uncultured bacterium. Its description in RNAcentral is "partial 16S ribosomal RNA". It matches the Rfam family "Bacterial small subunit ribosomal RNA", at positions 28 to 507 of the family's 1533-position model. The record is from RNAcentral.
GACGAACGCUGGCGGCGUGCUUAACACAUGCAAGUCGAACGGAAAGGCCCUGCUUGCAGGGUACUCGAGUGGCGAACGGGUGAGUAACACGUGGGUGAUCUGCCCUGCACUUCGGGAUAAGCCUGGGAAACUGGGUCUAAUACCGGAUAGGAGCCAUUUUUAGUGUGAUGGUUGGAAAGUUUUUUCGGUGUAGGAUGAGAUCGCGGCCUAUCAGCUUGUUGGUGGGGUAAUGGCCUACCAAGGCGGCGACGGGUAGCCGGCCUGCGAGGGUGGACGGCCACAUUGGGACUGAGAUACGGCCCAGACUCCUACGGGAGGCAGCAGUGGGGAAGAUUGCACAAUGGGCGCAAGCCUGAUGCAGCGACGCCGCGUGGGGGAUGACGGCCUUCGGGUUGUAAACUCCUUGCGCUAGGGACGAAGCUUUUUGUGACGGUACCUAGAUAAGAAGCACCGGCUAACUACGUG